This 1646-nucleotide long non-coding RNA is filed under the name Anser brachyrhynchus (Pink-footed goose). Its description in RNAcentral is "lncRNA (ENSABRG00000007923.1)". Lineage: Eukaryota; Metazoa; Chordata; Aves; Anseriformes; Anatidae. The record is from RNAcentral.
ACCAGGGAAGGGGCCCCGGCGGUGCUCGCAGCCGCCCUGGGUGCCGGCGACACCCGCGGCCUCGCCGCCCGGCCCCCGUUAUGCAGGCGGCGGUGGCGGCCCCGCGGCCGGGGGGGGCUCGCAGCGAGGUGCCAAGCGCGCCCCGGCGGGGCUCGCUGCCCGCCCCCGGCCUCGGAUCCGCUGGCUCCUGGCGCUGCCCAAGCCCCAGGCUCGCUUGGUGCCGUGGAGGUGAGGCCGGCUUCCUCAGGCCACGGGGGCUGCUGGCAGAGAGAGGUGAAAUCGCUUCGUGCCCCCGCCAGGCCCUGCGUGCGGUCGCCGAUGUUUCGGUGGGCUUGCCAGGUGGUUGGGAAUGACAGAGGGCUGCAAAAACCCUUCGCAAUUCUUCGAAACGCUUGAUACUUGUCAUCUUUUCUUGAUAACAAGGUUGUCUUAUCAAAAUAUUCCAGGGUGUAGGAUGGAAACUCGUAUAUACAUAACUACCUACGUCGUCUGUGGGUGAGCUGGAAUGGAUGCACUGGACGGCUAAGCGCAAAUUCUGCGGGAGCGCGAGAGCUGGCAGAAAGGUCAAGAUGGAUCCAGCUUCAGGUGGGAACAAAGGUGGCCCCUGGGCUGAGGCUUCACAAAGGAAGGUCUGAUCUGGAGCUUGGUUUAAAGGCACAGGUGAAGAUCUUUGGAAAAGAACUUUCAUCAUGGAAACGAUGAUGUUGCAUCCGUACUCUUCUGCUGAGGCUCCAGCUGAGGACACAGUCGGUGCUACAGCCCGCGCACCUCAAGCAACCCUCUCUAGGACAGAGGCAGAAAAAGAAGAGGAAACCCUGAAGAACCUCGUGGACGUUCUGCAUCACGUCAUGCGAAACGAUCCCUCGCAGGGCGCACUGGCUCCGCGUUCAGCAGCGACACCCACUCGUAAUGAUACCGUCGAUGCUCUCUGGUUAAAAGUAUACAAGAAGCAUGCUGAGAAGCCAAAAAAAACGGGAAGGGUUGCAAUGACAAGAAAACCUACUCCAUCGACUAUGCCAUCAGUUUUGACACUCCAAGCUGACCCAGAUUUUUCUGCUGCUUUGUGUGUUUUUGAAUCUGCUCAGCUGACAGCAGCACUGGAAGAGCUGGCCUUCAUAUUGCAAGCUGUUGUUCCAAAGGGGGAAGAUAAGAUUCUCGAUCAGUUAAUAAGUGGAUUUAGUGAAAUCUUUAAAGAAUGUUUUAAAAAAAGUGAUGCUAAAAAUCACAACUAAGUUUGAAACCAAAACCCACUAGCAAAAUGUUGAAAAAAGUUGCAUUACUGUAAAAAGAUGGAACAUGGAGUUCUAGCCAAAGUCAUCUCGGGAACGAUUAAAACGUUAUAGAUAGUGGUAGGGAAUGCAUCUGACAGUGUUAAACCCCACAUCUCAAUGGGCAUGUUGAAUUGGCUGGGAUCCAGAGAGCAAAAGCUCAGGCACUAGAAGCAGAGAAUUUGCAAAAAAAAAAUCAUAUAAUUUUUCUAAAACUUCCUCUGCACCUCCCUCUCCAUCUCUCUGUCCACUAGGUCUAGGGGAGAGCUCAGCAGAAACCAGGAAAGUAAGACCUUUGAUUAACGUGCUUUAAGAUUUUAGCCCUCAGUUAAAACAUAUAUCAAUAAAUUUAAUAAAUAAAUAUAUUGGUAAUUAUAA